GGCUCGUUGGUCUAGGGGUAUGAUUCUCGCUUUGGGUGCGAGAGGUCCCGGGUUCUAUUCCCGGAUGAGCGC
Molecule: transfer RNA, 72 nt
Filed under: Danionella translucida
Lineage: Eukaryota; Metazoa; Chordata; Actinopteri; Cypriniformes; Danionidae
Also listed under: 1 other name
Rfam family: tRNA
About the family: Transfer RNA (tRNA) molecules are approximately 80 nucleotides in length. Their secondary structure includes four short double-helical elements and three loops (D, anti-codon, and T loops).
Source: Rfam by way of RNAcentral